AUGGUGCAAAUGUUGAGUUCAACCAAAUUCAUGGACACGGUUCCAUUUCCUUUCCUUGUUCUUGUUUUGGCACUUCUUUUUCCAUUCAAAUCAUCUGCAGCUUUUAAUUUGAGCAUGGGAUCCUCUCUUUCAGUAGAAAAUCCAGCUCAAACUUUGAUGUCGCCGGACGCCGUAUUUACCGCUGGCUUUUUCCGGUCGGCGAAAACGCGUUUUGCUUUGGAAUAUGGUUCUCGGAGCCAACAACCAUUACAGACAACCUUACCGUGGUGUGGAUAGCUAAUCGUGACGAGCCGGUAAAUGGUCAACGCUCCAAGCUCACCCUGCACAAAAAUGGAAACCUUAUUCUCUCCGACAUCGACCGAUACACCGUGUGGUCCUCCGACACAGCUUCAAACUCAUCGGCCCACUUGCACCUCAGAAACACCGGCAAUCUAGUUCUUCUCGAAGAGCACGGCGUCGUGUUGUGGGAAAGCUUUGCUUCGCCGACGGACACGCUUUUGCCUCAGCAACCGCUCACAAGAAGCACACAGCUCAUUUCUUCAAGAAGCCUCACCAACUAUUCCUCCGGCUUCUACUCGUUUUACUUCGACAACGACAACACUCUUCGUAUACUCUACAAUGGCCCCGAGGUUUCGAGCAUUUACUGGCCCGAUCCAUGGCUUCUGAGUUAUCAAGCAGGAAGAUCCACAUACAACAACACUCGAAUUGCAGUUUUUGACAGCUUGGGAAAUUUUAGCUCAUCUGAUAAUUUUGUCGUUUUGACAAUCGACUACGGUGCGAAACUGCACAGAAUAUUCAGGAUGGAUGUAGAUGGAAAUCUCCGAGGCUACAGUCGAAAAGGUCAGGGAGAUAAAUGGAUUGUUACAUGGGAAGCAGUUUUACAACCAUGUAAAAUCCAUGGCAUUUGCGGAGCUAAUAGCUACUGCAGCUAUAUUCCUAGUACAGGUAGGAAAUGUUCGUGUCUGCCGGGUUAUGAAAUGGUCAGCAAAACCGAUUGGUCUUAUGGGUGUAAACCGGCUGGUUUCAAGCUGUCCUGCAAGAGUAGUGCAGAGGAAGAGUUCGGUUUUGUGCAUCUUUCACGUAUUGAAAUGUAUGGGUAUGAUUAUGCCGUCUAUGGCAAUUACACAUUAGAUGAGUGCAAAAGUGUGUGCCUGGACUUGUGCAACUGUACUGGAUUCCACCACAAAUUUGGUGGCGGUCAGUAUCAGUGUUAUCCCAAGUAUCAAAUGCGAAAUGGCUACCGCUCGCCUGCUUUCGAUGGGGAGCUGUAUGUGAAGCUACCAAAAGGCCUCCUCAAUGCUACUUAUAAGGAUUCCAAAAUGUGCUCAGCUAAACUUACAGCACAACUUGACAGAACAUAUGAAAGAAGCAAUCCCAGUGGAUCGAUCCAGUUUAUGCUUAAAUUCGCAUCGGCCGUGGGAGGACUAGAGGUCAUUUGCAUCUUUGUUGUGUGGUUUUUUGUAACGAGAAGAAGCAGCGGGGAUAAAAAAGAUUCAGAAUUAGAAGCACUUGCUCAAGGCUACCUUCAAACUGCCAGUGGAUUUAGAAGGUUUACAUACUCCGAAUUGAAGAAGGCCACAAAAGGAUUCAAGGAAGAGAUUGGAAAAGGAGGAGGAGGAGUUGUGUACAAAGGCGUGUUGUCCGAUCAGCGAGUUGCAGCGAUUAAGCAACUGAAUGAUUGUAAUCAAGGAGAAGCUGAGUUCCUUGCAGAAGUAAGCCUUCUUGGUAAGCUUUACCAUAUGAACUUGAUAGAGAUGUGGGGUUAUUGCGUGGAAGACAAGCAUAGGCUUCUCGUGUAUGAGUACAUGGAGCAUGGUUCCUUGGCAAAAGUUUUAUCUUCCAAAGCGCUUGAUUGGAAGAAGAGGUAUGAUAUUGCUCUUGGCACAGCAAAAGGACUGGCUUAUCUUCAUGAAGAGUGCUUGGAAUGGGUUCUACAUUGUGAUGUGAAGCCUCAGAACAUACUCUUGGACUCCUAUUACAAUCCCAAGGUAGCAGAUUUUGGGUUGUCCAAGCUAUUAAACAGAAGCGAGAACACCAGCUCAGACUUCUCGAGGAUUAGAGGAACCAGAGGUUACAUGGCUCCAGAGUGGGUGCACAAUAUGCCCAUCACUUCGAAGGUGGAUGUCUACAGUUAUGGAAUUGUUGUGCUAGAAAUGCUCACCGGGAAGAACCCAACUGAAAGCAAUCUUCAAUCGGUUGAAGGUGGAGGAGAGACACACAAGAAGAUGAUGGCACAAUGGGUGAUGGAAAAAAUGAAUGGAGCAUUAGCAAAUGCAGAGACCAAAAUGGGAGGUGAAAAUGAAAAGGGUAAGCUGGAAAUUCUUAUUAAAGUGGCGCUCCAGUGUAUAGAGGAAGACAGAAAUGCAAGACCCUCUAUGAGUCGAGUAGUUGAGAUGCUUCUACAUCAUCAAUUUCAGGGAUGACUGCUUCA
RNA transcript from Fragaria vesca subsp. vesca, 2431 nucleotides. It is a transcript of the gene named putative receptor protein kinase ZmPK1-like, with no coding region annotated. The transcript has a single exon. NCBI's taxonomy places the organism in Eukaryota, Viridiplantae, Streptophyta, Magnoliopsida, Rosales, Rosaceae. The record is from RefSeq and is a predicted model, not a curated record.